CGGGCCGGCCGGGCGACCGCGUUGGGGAGACCCACCGAGGAAGGUCCGGGCUCCGCAGAGCAGGGCGGUGGGUAACACCCACCCGGGGCAACCCGCGGGACAGUGCCACAGAGAACAGACCGCCUCCCGAGGGCAACCGAGGGAGGUAAGGGUGAAACGGUGGAGCAAGAGACCACCAGCACGCCGGGUGACCGGCGUGGCUCGGCAAACCCCGUCCGGAGCAAGAUCAGACAGCGCACGUCCGAGGGCUGCUCGCCCGAGUGCGCGGGUAGAUCGCUGGAGGCCGUCGGCAACGGCGGUCGUAGAUGGAUGGUCGCCCCUCGGCUCGCCGAGGACAGAACCCGGCCUACAGGCCGGCCCGUUCG
Molecule: RNase P RNA, 365 nt
Rfam family: Bacterial RNase P class A
About the family: Ribonuclease P (RNase P) is a ubiquitous endoribonuclease, found in archaea, bacteria and eukarya as well as chloroplasts and mitochondria.